This 575-nucleotide long non-coding RNA is filed under the name Bos taurus (domestic cattle). RNAcentral's name for it is "long non-coding RNA NONBTAT026315". Lineage: Eukaryota; Metazoa; Chordata; Mammalia; Artiodactyla; Bovidae. The record is from RNAcentral.
AUCAUUACUGACCCUUUUUCAUUAUUUCAUUUGUUACCAUCUAUCAGUAUUAUUUUUGAGUAUUUGUUAGGUGUCAUCACGCCUUCCUAAGUGUGCUGUGUUUUAGUAGCCUAGUAUUUGAAGUAGUCUGCUGGAAACCAAGUCAGUAUAUUCUCUACCUAUUCCAAAGAGCUAAAAAUCAGAGCCAGGAAAGACAUUACACUGCAGCUCAAAUUCACGAUGACAGUGAUGUGUGAUAUGGCCUAGAUUCUUGAAAGGGACCUGACUUGACUUUUUUAAAGAUAGAUAUUUUAUUAAUGAGCUAAAAAAAAGGGUUGGCGUGAGGUUAGCAGAAGUAAGCCAUCCAGUAUUCCUAUCACUACAAUCUAACCACCUUAUUUUGUGCCAGAGAAACUGAUAAAAUGUAAUAAUAGGAUCAUAUACCCAUCAUUUGAAUAAUUUUGAACUACAAACUGUCCUUAUAGUUUUCAUAACUGUUGUCCAUUGUUUGAGGAUGUUAGUACUAAACUGAAAACAUAAAUUCCAUAUCUACCACAUUUACACCAGCAACAGUAUAAAAUGUAAGCCUAAAUUUG